This 219-nucleotide non-coding RNA is filed under the name Bacillus sp. (in: firmicutes). RNAcentral describes it as "Bacillus sp. T-box sequence". It matches the Rfam family "T-box leader". Rfam says of the family: Uncharged tRNA acts as the effector for transcription antitermination of genes in the T-box leader family. T-boxes are found upstream of many aminoacyl-tRNA synthetase genes and some amino acid biosynthetic genes usually in Gram-positive bacteria. Lineage: Bacteria; Bacillati; Bacillota; Bacilli; Caryophanales; Bacillaceae. The record is from RNAcentral.
GUUGAAACAAUGACGAGGAUUAGUAAAAUGAAGGCAUCUUACCAAGAGAGGAAACCAUUUGGUGGGAGGUUUCUUAAGAUACUCAUUUGAACCUGCCUCUGAGUUCUGUAUCGGAUAGUAAUUUGAAGAUACAAGCGGAUCCAAUCCGUUAUCAUGCCAAGUGUGUAAAGUGUAAGCUUUAUGAAUUUAGGGUGGUACCGCCAGACCUUGGUCCCUUUU